This 492-nucleotide ribosomal RNA is filed under the name uncultured bacterium. RNAcentral's name for it is "partial 16S ribosomal RNA". It matches the Rfam family "Bacterial small subunit ribosomal RNA", at positions 29 to 507 of the family's 1533-position model. The record is from RNAcentral.
AGUGAACGCUGGCGGUAGGCCUAACACAUGCAAGUCGAACGGCAGCACAGUAAGAGCUUGCUCUUACGGGUGGCGAGUGGCGGACGGGUGAGGAAUACAUCGGAAUCUACUUUUUCGUGGGGGAUAACGUAGGGAAAAUUACGCUAAUACCGCAUACGACCUACGGGUGAAAGCAGGGGAUCUUCGGACCUUGCGCGAUUGAAUGAGCGGAUGUCGGAUUAGCUAGUUGGCGGGGUAAAGGCCCACCAAGGCGACGAUCCGUAGCUGGUCUGAGAGGAUGAUCAGCCACACUGGAACUGAGACACGGUCCAGACUCCUACGGGAGGCAGCAGUGGGGAAUAUUGGACAAUGGGCGCAAGCCUGAUCCAGCCAUACCGCGUGAGUGAAGAAGGCCUUCGGGUUGUAAAGCCCUUUUGUUGGGAAAGAAAAGCAGCAGGUUAAUACCCCGCUGUUCUGACGGUACCCUAAGAAUAAGCACCGGCUAACUUCGUG